GAUGAAGAACGUAGUGAAAUGCGAUAAGUAAUGUGAAUUGCAGAAUUCAGUGAAUCAUCGAAUCUUUGAACGCACCUUGCGCUCUUUGGUAUUCCGAAGAGCAUGCCUGUUUGAGUAUCAUGAAAAUAUCAACCUUGACUUGGGUUUUGUGCUCUAGUCUCGGCUUGGAAUUGGGUGCUUGCCGCUUUUACGAGCGGCUCACCUUAAAUGUAUUAGCUGGAUCUGUCUUUGAGACUUGGUUUGACUUGGCGUAAUAAGUAUUUCGCUAAGGACAUUCUUCGGAGUGGCCUCGUUUCUAGGACGCUUGUCCGCUUUCCAAUACAAGUUCCACCUCGUGGACAUGACUUUUUAUUAUCUGGCCUCAAAUCAGGUAGGACUACCCGCUGAACUUAAGCAUAUCAAUAAGCGGAG
This 411-nucleotide unclassified non-coding RNA is filed under the name soil metagenome. Its description in RNAcentral is "partial contains 5.8S ribosomal RNA, internal transcribed spacer 2, and large subunit ribosomal RNA". The stretch from base 1 to 120 matches the Rfam family "5.8S ribosomal RNA", at positions 35 to 154 of the family's 154-position model. The record is from RNAcentral.